RNAcentral lists this ribosomal RNA (406 nucleotides) under uncultured bacterium. Its description in RNAcentral is "partial 16S ribosomal RNA". It matches the Rfam family "Bacterial small subunit ribosomal RNA", at positions 30 to 526 of the family's 1533-position model. The record is from RNAcentral.
AUUGAACGCUGGCGGCUGGCCUAACACAUGCAAGUCGAACGAGUGGCGGACGGGUGAGUAAUGUCUGGGAAACUGCCCGAUGGAGGGGGAUAACUACUGGAAACGGUAGCUAAUACCGCAUACCAUCGGAUGUGCCCAGAUGGGAGUAGCUUGUAGGUGAGGUAACGGCUCACCUAGGCGACGAUCCCUAGCGGGUCUGAGAGGAUGACCAGCCAAACUGUAACUGAGACACGGUGCAUACUCCGACGUGAGGCAGCAGUGGGGAAUAUUGCACAAUGGGCGCAAGCCUGAUGCAGCCAUGCCGCGUGUAUGAAGAAGGCCUUCGGGUUGUAAAGUACUGUCAGCGGGGAGGCGUUACCCGCAGAAGAAGCUCCGGCUAACUCCGUGCCAGAAGCCGCGGUAAUAC